GGGUGAGUAACGCGUAUCCAACCUGCCCAUCACUUGGGGAUAACCUUGCGAAAGUAAGACUAAUACCCAAUGACGUCUCUAGAAGACAUCUGAAAGGGAUUAAAGAUUUAUCGGUGAUGGAUGGGGAUGCGUCUGAUUAGCUUGUUGGCGGGGUAACGGCCCACCAAGGCGACGAUCAGUAGGGGUUCUGAGAGGAAGGUCCCCCACAUUGGAACUGAGACACGGUCCAAACUCCUACGGGAGGCAGCAGUGAGGAAUAUUGGUCAAUGGGCGAGAGCCUGAACCAGCCAAGUAGCGUGCAGGAAGACGGCCCUAUGGGUUGUAAACUGCUUUUAUAAGGGAAUAAAGUGAGUCUCGUGAGACUUUUUGCAUGUACCUUAUGAAUAAGGACCGGCUAAUUCCGUGCCAGCAGCCGCGGUAAUACGGAAGGUCCGGGCGUUAUCCGGAUUUAUUGGGUUUAAAGGGAGCGUAGGCCGGAGAUUAAGCGUGUUGUGAAAUGUAGACGCUCAACGUCUGCACUGCAGCGCGAACUGGUUUCCUUGAGUACGCACAAAGUGGGCGGAAUUCGUGGUGUAGCGGUGAAAUGCUUAGAUAUCACGAAGAACUCCGAUUGCGAAGGCAGCUCACUGGAGCGCAACUGACGCUGAAGCUCGAAAGUGCGGGUAUCGAACAGGAUUAGAUACCCUGGUAGUCCGCACGGUAAACGAUGGAUGCCCGCUGUUGGUCUGAA
RNAcentral lists this ribosomal RNA (730 nucleotides) under uncultured bacterium. RNAcentral describes it as "bacterial SSU rRNA". It matches the Rfam family "Bacterial small subunit ribosomal RNA", at positions 104 to 832 of the family's 1533-position model. The record is from RNAcentral.